AACGAACGCUGGCGGCAUGCCUAACACAUGCAAGUCGAACGAGACCUUCGGGUCUAGUGGCGCACGGGUGCGUAACGCGUGGGAACCUGCCCUUAGGUUCGGAAUAACUCCCCGAAAGGGGUGCUAAUACCGGAUAAUGUCUUCGGACCAAAGAUUUAUCGCCUUUGGAUGGGCCCGCGUUGGAUUAGCUAGUUGGUAGGGUAAAAGCCUACCAAGGCGACGAUCCAUAGCUGGUCUGAGAGGAUGAUCAGCCACACUGGGACUGAGACACGGCCCAGACCCCUAGGGGGGGGAGCAGGGGGGAAUUUUGGAAAAUGGGCGAAAGCCUGACCCCGAAAUGCCGGGUGGGUGAUGAAGGCCUUAGGUUUGUAAAGCUUUUUUACCCGGGAUGAUAAUAACAGGACCGGGAGAAUAAGCCCCGGCUAACCCCGU
Molecule: ribosomal RNA, 432 nt
Filed under: uncultured bacterium
Lineage: Bacteria
Description: partial 16S ribosomal RNA
Rfam family: Bacterial small subunit ribosomal RNA
Source: RNAcentral